ACACUGUCCCAUAUCCGCCAAAGCAGCGGGC
RNAcentral lists this small RNA (31 nucleotides) under Bombyx mori (domestic silkworm). RNAcentral's name for it is "ovarian small RNA-11065". The record is from RNAcentral. Lineage: Eukaryota; Metazoa; Arthropoda; Insecta; Lepidoptera; Bombycidae.